CAUCGCCAUGGUCGGCAAGGCCGAACGCGGCCCUGACGCGGUCGCCGCGAUCCAGCGCCAUCGCGCCGCCUACCUGAUCGCCGUGGGCGGCGCGGCC
Molecule: transfer RNA, 97 nt
Filed under: Achromobacter xylosoxidans
Lineage: Bacteria; Pseudomonadati; Pseudomonadota; Betaproteobacteria; Burkholderiales; Alcaligenaceae
Description: tRNA-Val(gac)
Source: RNAcentral